GAUGAACGCUGGCGGCGUGCCUAAUACAUGCAAGUCGAGCGAACAGACGAGGAGCUUGCUCCUCUGACGUUAGCGGCGGACGGGUGAGUAACACGUGGAUAACCUACCUAUAAGACUGGGAUAACUUCGGGAAACCGGCGCUAAUACCGGAUAAUAUAUUGAACCGCAUGGUUCAAUAGUGAAAGACGGUUUUGCUGUCACUUAUAGAUGGAUCCGCGCCGCAUUAGCUAGUUGGUAAGGUAACGGCUUACCAAGGCAACGAUGCGUAGCCGACCUGAGAGGGUGAUCGGCCACCCUGGAACUGAGACACGGUCCAGACUCCUACGGGAGGCAGCAGUAGGGAAUCUUCCGCAAUGGGCGAAAGCUUGACGGAGCAACGCCGCGUGAGUGAUGAAGGUCUUCGGAUCGUAAAACUCUGUUAUUAGGGAAGAACAAAUGUGUAAGUAACUAUGCACUUCUUGACGGUACCUAAUCAGAAAGCCACGGCUAACUACGUG
This 497-nucleotide ribosomal RNA is filed under the name uncultured bacterium. RNAcentral describes it as "partial 16S ribosomal RNA". It matches the Rfam family "Bacterial small subunit ribosomal RNA", at positions 28 to 507 of the family's 1533-position model. The record is from RNAcentral.